AUGGCAAAAGCUAAACCAAAAAUUGGUUCACGUAAGAAAGUGCGUAUUGGUUUACGUAGGAAUGCACGUUUUAGUUUGCACGUAGAAUAACAAAAAGGUACUUGUGGAUUCAAAAGCUCAAGAAAAGCAUCACCCUAUGCUGGUCAAAGAACAGGAGUAGAUGCUAUUCGUACAGUAGGUUUGCAACGAGCAGAAGUUAUGGUAAAGGGCGCUGGUAGUGGAAGAGAUGCCGCAUUACGAGCUAUUGCUAAAAGUGGUGUGCGAUUAAGUUGUAUACGCGAUGUAACAACUAUGCCGCAUAAUGGAUGUCGACCGCCUAAAAAAAGACGUCUGUAA
Molecule: ribosomal RNA, 336 nt
Filed under: Triticum aestivum (bread wheat)
Lineage: Eukaryota; Viridiplantae; Streptophyta; Magnoliopsida; Poales; Poaceae
Description: partial small subunit ribosomal RNA
Source: RNAcentral